RNAcentral lists this ribosomal RNA (487 nucleotides) under Trapezionida aff. notata 1 AM-2022b. Its description in RNAcentral is "Munididae gen. 5 aff. notata 1 AM-2022b partial large subunit ribosomal RNA". It matches the Rfam family "Bacterial large subunit ribosomal RNA", at positions 1831 to 2571 of the family's 2925-position model. The record is from RNAcentral. Lineage: Eukaryota; Metazoa; Arthropoda; Malacostraca; Decapoda; Munididae.
GUCUAUGUGAAGUUAUAUAAAGUCUAACCUGCCCAUUGAAUAAUUUAAAAGGCCGCAGUAUAUUAACUGUGCAAAGGUAGCAUAAUCAUUAGUUUUUUAAUUGAAGGCUUGUAUGAAGGGUUGGACAAAGAAUAAUCUGUUUCUAUUUUUUUAUUUGAAUUUAACUUUUAAGUGAAAAGGCUUAAAUAAAUUUGAGGGACGAUAAGACCCUAUAAAUCUUAAUAUUAAAUUAUUUUUAGUUAAUUAAUAUUGUAAAUAUAAUAAUAAAAUAUUAAAUAUUGUGUUGGGGUGAUAAGAAUAUAAAAAAUAACUGUUCUAAAAUUAAAACAAAAUUAUUUGAGAAUAAAUAGAUCCUUUUUAAAGAUUAAAAGUUCAAGUUACUUUAGGGAUAACAGCGUUAUUUUUUUUGAGAGUUCUUAUCGAAAAAAAAGUUUACGACCUCGAUGUUGAAUUAAAAUUUCUUUGUGGUGUAGAUGUUACAAAAGAG